This is a long non-coding RNA of Pantherophis guttatus, 442 nucleotides long. RefSeq lists it as uncharacterized. The record is from RefSeq and is a predicted model, not a curated record. Lineage: Eukaryota; Metazoa; Chordata; Lepidosauria; Squamata; Colubridae.
UUACAAUGGCACAGAAAGAAGUGGCUUACAACCAAUUCUUGCACUUAUGGCCGUCGCAGCAUCCCCAUGGCCACGUGAUCAAAAUUUAGAUGAGAAGACAGACCAAGAUAGCUGAAAGAAGUAACCACCAGGUAGAAUCCGAGUGACUGAGUGUGUUGUGGCCCUCCAGCGGCCUGCACGGAUUGUUGCUGAUCCCGACGACGAGGAGGCUGGUGUGGUGCUGUGUAGCUGGUGCUCGAGUCGGACAGCGAGGAGGCUGAAGAAGAUGUGGUGCCAGAGGCAGAGAUCCAGUCAGGGCCUUCAGAACCUCCAGAGGCUCCUUCAAGUGAAGAGGAUGAAGAGGAGGAGCCUCUUCUCAAUGCAUGGGCACGCAGAGCUGCCAAAAGGCAGGAGUGGUUCUCAGGAGGAGGUCUCCUCGAGAGUAAGGUUUGGGGCUAACUGA